RNAcentral lists this long non-coding RNA (608 nucleotides) under Eutrema salsugineum. RNAcentral's name for it is "long non-coding RNA (ESAL_LNC001306)". The record is from RNAcentral. Lineage: Eukaryota; Viridiplantae; Streptophyta; Magnoliopsida; Brassicales; Brassicaceae.
AAGAUGUUGAGCGGGGGUGUGGCGUGACGCAGUGAUCUCUCCUAGCCCCUACUCUUUUUUUUUUUUUUUUUGAAACAAACUAAUCGUGACUGUGAUGUUUUCUCAGGUCAUGAACCUUGCUUGAAUGUACGAAACGGGAUACUCUCUUCUUGUUUCUCAUCAAGUUGAGGUGUUUGAACUCUUUGUAUUGUUCUAAAGAGCCUUCAAGUCGUGAAGUUUGAGGAGAUCGGAGAAUGGAGGACCGCAUUAUGCGGGAGGUCGGAGAACGUUUUGAUGUAGACUUGUCAUUCACUGCGAUUGUGCUUGAACCUCUUUUGUGUAGCUCGUCGGUGUUUGUUACGGAGGGUUAGCUCGGUCGUGAGAAGGUGCACACGAUCUUUGUUCUUGUUGAAGGUUGUUGUUUUGAUUGCUCCACAAGUUAUGUCUCAAACUGCUUCUGAGAAUUUGUAGAUUGCCACGAAUCCUUCUGAUUUUUCAGCAAAGGACUCCAUGGAACGUGGUAAUGUAGGUGAUGUCUCGAUGUGGUCUCGCCAUUCUCUGAGGCUUAGCUCGGUAUGGGAGAAGACGUAUGAAGACCAAUGAGUUCCAGAUUUGUUUGUGAAUUGCUG